GAAUUGAACUUAUGCCAGAAAGAAAAGGAGAGACUGAGUGAUGAACUCCUUGUAAAAUCAGACCUAGAAACUGUUGUUCAUCAGCUUGAACAAGAAAAGCAAAGACUUAGCAAAAAAGUUGAAAGUUUUGCAGUUACAGAACGACAACUUACUCUGGAAGUUGAGAGGAUGAGACUAGAACAUGGAAUAAAACGUCGAGACAAGUCACCUUCUCGUUUAGAUACAUUUCUGAAAGGUAUAGAAGAAGAACGAGAUUAUUAUAAGAAAGAGCUAGAGAGACUCCAACAUAUAAUACAGCGAAGAUCUUGCUCUACAAGUUAUAGUGCACGUGAAAAAAGUUCAAUAUUUAGAACACCAGAAAAGGGUGAUUACAAUUCAGAAAUUCAUCAGAUCACAAGAGAAAGAGAUGAACUUCAGCGUAUGCUAGAAAGAUUUGAAAAAUAUAUGGAGGAUAUACAGUCCAAUGUUAAAUUAUUGACAGCAGAAAGAGAUAAACUAAGUGUCUUAUAUAAUGAAGCUCAGGAAGAAUUAUCUGCCCUAAGAAAGGAAUCCACCCAAACCACAGCACCCCAUAAUAUUGUUAGUCUUAUGGAAAAGGAAAAAGAACUUGCGUUAUCUGACUUAAGAAGAAUUAUGGCAGAAAAGGAAGCUUUAAGAGAAAAAUUAGAGCAUAUUGAAGAAAUGAGUCUUUUUGGAAAAUCAGAAUUAGAGAAAACUAUUGAACAUUUGACAUGUGUUAAUCAUCAGCUUGAAAGCGAAAAAUAUGAAUUAAAGUCUAAAGUGUUAAUAAUGAAAGAAACAAUAGAGUCAUUAGAGAACAAAUUAAAAGUCCAAGCUCAAAAAUUUAGCCAUGUGGCUGGUGACUCAUCUCAUCAGAAAACAGAGGUGAACUCACUUAGGAUAGUAAAUGAGCAGCUACAGCGGUCAGUUGAUGACUAUCAGCACCGACUUUCCAUAAAAAGAGGUGAACUUGAAUCAGCCCAAACACAAAUUAAAAUACUGGAGGAAAAGAUAGGUAAAUGUUUUAAAAUUUUGUUUCUGCUAAUCCUAAUGUACUUUGUCUAACAAACAUUUCUUUUCAUUUGUAGAUGAACUAAACCUUAAGAUGACUUCACAGGAUGAGGAGGCUCAUGUAAUGAAAAAGACUAUUGGUGUUAUUGAUAAAGAAAAAGACUUUCUCCAGGAGACUGUAGAUGAGAAGACAGAAAAGAUUGCAAAUUUGCAAGAAAACCUAGCAAAUAAAGAAAAAGCUGUUGCUCAAAUGAAGCUAAUGAUCUCAGAGUGUGAAUCAUCUGUGAACCAGCUGAAAGAAACAUUGGUUAAUCGAGAUCGUGAGAUAAACAGCCUCCGGCGCCAGCUUGAUGCAGCUCACAAAGAACUCGAUGAAGUAGGAAGAUCUAGAGAAAUCGCUUUUAAGGAAAACAGAAGACUGCAAGAUGACCUGGCUACAAUGGCAAGAGAAAACCAAGAAAUCUCAUUGGAAUUGGAAGCAGCAGUGCAAGAAAAAGAGGAAAUGAAGAGCAGAGUUCAUAAAUACAUAACAGAGGUGUCACGAUGGGAGAGCUUAAUGGCUGCCAAGGAAAAAGAAAAUCAAGAUUUGUUAGAUAGAUUUCAGAUGCUUCAUAACCGUGCUGAAGACUGGGAGGUCAAAGCCCAUCAAGCUGAGGGAGAAAGCAGCUCAGUUCGACUGGAACUUCUUUCUAUUGACACUGAGAGGAGACAUCUUCGAGAAAGAGUGGAGCUAUUAGAAAAAGAAAUUCAAGAGCACAUAAAUGCCCAUCAUGCUUAUGAAUCUCAGAUCUCAUCAAUGGCAAAAGCCAUGUCUCGAUUAGAAGAAGAGCUGAGACAUCAAGAAGAUGAGAAAGCAACAGUAUUAAAUGACUUGUCAUCUCUUAGAGAACUUUGCAUUAAACUUGAUUCAGGCAAAGAUAUCAUGACCCAGCAAUUGAAUUCGAAAAACCUUGAGUUUGAGAGGGUUGUGGUAGAAUUAGAAAAUGUAAAGUCAGAGUCAGACCUACUGAAAAAACAACUGUCAAAUGAGAGACAUACAGUUAAAAACCUCGAAUCAUUGUUGGCUACAAACAGAGAUAAAGAAUUUCAUUCUCACUUAACCUCCCAUGAGAAGGAUACAGAAAUCCAGCUACUUAAGGAGAAGUUAACCCUUUCCGAAAGCAAAUUAACUAGUCAAAGCCGGGAAAACACCAUGCUUCGAGCUAAAGUGGCACAGUUACAAACAGAUUAUGAUGCUCUGAAAAGGCAGAUCUCAACUGAAAGAUACGAACGAGAACGAGCAAUCCAAGAGAUGCGUCGACAUGGUCUUCCUACACCACCCCUUAGUUCCACUCUGAGGUCUCCUUCACAUUCUCCUGAACAUAUAAAUGUAUAAUUAUCAGAAAGAAUAAUGGCUUUCAAUGAGUUCCUACGUGGAUUUUUAAAAGAACAGAACAGUAAUGAAAUAUUUGAAGUACUUGUUGCUGAAAAUCAUGAACAUGGACACAAAUUCUACCUCUGUCAACUUUUAUUUAAAUCAGUGAAUAUGUUAAAAAGUUUGGUUUAAAAGAACUAUAUCUGUAUGUAUAUUUUCACAUAUAUGACAGAACAAGAAUAUGUAUUAAUAGUGCCUAAUGUAUCUAUAUUUUUAUUAUUCAUGAAUUAAAUUACUAAAAGUAUGUUUAUACUGUGAAUUAAUAUAAUGUAUUCACAUUAUUCUUUAAUCUGUUUAUUAAUAAGCCAUGAUAUAUGUAUGUAAAUAUUCUUACAGUACUUGUUUUUAGUUGUCAUGCGUAUGUUUAGACCAUAUCUUAAUGUAUUCACAAAGAAUUAUCAACUUUGAUGCUAUGCUGUCAUGCUUAACUUUUUCUUCUUAAAAUUAUUCAUAGAUCUACUGUCUGUUGUCAAGGGGAGUAUAUUCAGGUCUAGUCUUCUUAUAAUAGCAGAGGUCUUGGUAAAAUAACUACCAUAUAUAAUGUGUUAUUGCCAUCUAGAAGAACUAUGAUGAGAAAGAUACAUUUAUAUAUUAUGUAAAAUUUUAACUAUUAUCACAUGGACUCUAUGUAACACAAAUUCUAUCAAAAGCAAACUAAAAGCUAUAUGCAGAAUUUUGUAUAAAACAAUAGAACAGAAAUUUGGGACAUUUUUCUAGGAAAUAAAAUUCCUCAGUGUAUUAAUCUAAGGUUUCAAAGUAUAAAAGUAUAUGGGGUAGGCCGGGUGCAGUGGCUCACGCCUGUAAUCCCAGCACUUCGGGUCGCCGAGGCGAGUGGAUUUCCUAAGGUCAGGAGUUUGAGACCAGCCUGAGCAAUGUGGUGAAACCCCGUCUCUACUAAAAAUACAAAAAUUAUCUGGGCUUGGUGGUGGGCACCUGUCAUCCCAGCUACUUGGGAGGCUGAAGCAGGAGAAUCGCUUGAACCCGGGAGGUGGAGGUUGCGGUGAGCCAAGAUCAUGCCAUUGCACUCCAGCCUGGGUGACGGAGUAACACUCUGUCUCAGAAAAAAAAAAAAGAAAAAAGUAUAUGGGCUAAAUACAGUAAAACAUUUUGUUAAAUUCCAAUAUACAUUCAGUGAUACCACUCUUUUUCUUCUAAGCCUGUGUGUUAUAAUUUACCAGUUCCCCAAAAUGCCAUUUUUAACGCCGAACUGUGUAAUAUAUAUGGAAAACAGCUUUUUACAGUUAAUUUUCAAAGUUGUAAUUUUAAAGAAUUUGGGUGUAUACCUAUGUUAAUGAAACAACAGAAGUACCAAAAGGAAUGUCAGAUACAAAAAUCAAUCAUGAAGAAAAUCUGUUCUUAAUAUAUUGCAUUAUGAUUGAAAAACAUAAAAACUAACAUAGGAAAGUGAAUGAUCAGUUACUUAUGAUAUAUUUUGUUUCCUCUUGUGGUUUAAUAAAGUGAAGUGUGUGUGUGUGUGUGUGUGUGUAUACCUGGGGGUGGGCAGUGCUCUUUUUCUAAAACUAAUAUGGCUUAUAUAUCUGAAUUAUGCCCUUUUUAGUGUGUAUUAGGAUGUGGGCUGGUUUGCUUUUCUACCACCUUUGUAAUUUUAUGUAUUCCAUCUCCUUUGUGUGAAUUCAUAUAUUAUAGCAAAAUACAAGAGACGUGGGACUGUUUGCAAUACCAUAUGGAAAUCUUUUAAUAAAUAUAUGUAAAUAAAAU
Molecule: small RNA, 4144 nt
Filed under: Pongo abelii (Sumatran orangutan)
Lineage: Eukaryota; Metazoa; Chordata; Mammalia; Primates; Hominidae
Description: retained intron
Source: RNAcentral